This 492-nucleotide ribosomal RNA is filed under the name uncultured bacterium. RNAcentral describes it as "partial 16S ribosomal RNA". It matches the Rfam family "Bacterial small subunit ribosomal RNA", at positions 29 to 507 of the family's 1533-position model. The record is from RNAcentral.
AGUGAACGCUGGCGGUAGGCCUAACACAUGCAAGUCGAACGGCAGCACAGUAAGAGCUUGCUCUUACGGGUGGCGAGUGGCGGACGGGUGAGGAAUACAUCGGAAUCUACUUUUUCGUGGGGGAUAACGUAGGGAAACUUACGCUAAUACCGCAUACGACCUACGGGUGAAAGCAGGGGAUCUUCGGACCUUGCGCGAUUGAAUGAGCCGAUGUCGGAUUAGCUAGUUGGCGGGGUAAAGGCCCACCAAGGCGACGAUCCGUAGCUGGUCUGAGAGGAUGAUCAGCCACACUGGAACUGAGACACGGUCCAGACUCCUACGGGAGGCAGCAGUGGGGAAUAUUGGACAAUGGGCGCAAGCCUGAUCCAGCCAUACCGCGUGGGUGAAGAAGGCCUUCGGGUUGUAAAGCCCUUUUGUUGGGAAAGAAGAGCAGCAGGUUAAUACCCCGCCGUUCUGACGGUACCCAAAGAAUAGGCACCGGCUAACUUCGUG